Molecule: RNA transcript, 1872 nt
Organism: Malania oleifera
Lineage: Eukaryota; Viridiplantae; Streptophyta; Magnoliopsida; Santalales; Ximeniaceae
Gene name: tubulin-folding cofactor C
Exons: 2
Source: RefSeq, a predicted model, not a curated record
GACUCCGGUACCUCUUCCUCCUCUUCCACCGCCACCGAGGCCAUUGUCUCCGCCAUCGCUAGUCUCCGUCGCCUCUGCCAUCGCUGACCUCCGCCUAACAAUUCCUCGUUCUUCUGUUGCAGCGCUACCAUGGAAGAAGAUAAUUCGUCGAAUCCGGCUCAGAUCUCUGCCAAAACCACGGGACAGAGAAAGCAUGCUGCAAUGCUGGAACGCCUCUCGGUCCGAUCCACCUCGAGAAAACCUGAAUCCGACUCUUCCUCAUCCUUUGAAUCCACAACCUCCUUCCUUACCCGCUUCUCCAAUUCCAAGGACUCCAUCGAGUCUGAACUCGCUCGCUGCCGACUCGUCACGGACCCAGACUCGAAAUCCCAUCUCAAAUCGGACCUCGACAAGGUUUCAGCCUCCAUAGCCGAGCUUGAGAGGCUUGUUGCCGAGAACUCCUACUUCUUGCCGUCUUACGAGGUUCGAUCGUCACUCAAAACCAUCUCCGAGCUUAAACAAACCCUAGAAGAUCUGAACUCCGAACUGCUCCCUAAAAAGAAAUUCGCAUUUCGCAAUAAGAACGCAAAGAAAGAGCAGGUUACUUUGCCGAAGGACGCCGAAGCUGUGAAGUCGGAUUUCAAGAAAGUGGGCGUCACGGUCCGGGAGUCCCCGGGGAUUAGGAAUCGGGAAAAUGCGGUUCUAGUUAGGAAUUUUAAGUGUUCGGGCUCAGAUGUUGGAGAGUUUACACUUUCGGAUCUUAAUGGUUGUGAGGUGCGGUUAAUUGGUAGCUUGAGGGCAUUGUUCAUCCAUCGGUUGAGGAAUUGCAGGGUUUAUGUUGGACCUGUGUUUGGCUCCAUUUUGAUUGAGGAAGUUGAAGGGUGUGUGUUUGUAUUGGCGUCGCAUCAGAUUAGGGUUCACCAUGCAAAGGGAACUGAUUUUUUUCUAAGGGUGCGAAGUCGGCCGAUAAUUGAGGAUAGUAGUGGUGUGAGGUUUGCACCCUAUUGCUUAUCUUAUGAAGGGAUUGAACAAGAUCUUCAAGAUUCAAGUCUUGAGGAGGAGACUGGCAACUGGGCAAAUGUAGAUGAUUUUAAAUGGUUGCGAGCUGUUCACUCUCCAAAUUGGUCCAUUUUGCCUGAGAAUGAAAGGAUUGAUGCUGUCAAUAUUUCGAAUUUGGAGACAGGGAUGGAAGAUUGUUAGUUGGUUCAUUUUCAAGUUUGAUGGGCACCAUGUAUUGGAAGGGCAAGUUGAACAAUCCACAUUUUCUGUGUAGAGAGAGAGAGAGAGAGAGAGAGAGAGAGAGAGGCCAUGGAGAAAGGGGACAAGGGAGGUGCAGCAGCUGCAGGCAGAUGCUUUCCAAUGGAGAUGGUGAUGCGUUUGGUGCCAAUGGCUCUGUGCAUAGCUGCGCUUGUUGUCAUGCUCAAAACUUCAGAGUCCAAUGACUAUGGUUCUCUCUCCUACUCCAACCUUGGACCUUUCAGGUUUAUCAUCCUCCCUCUUCUUUAAUUCCCCCUCUUUAAUUUUUUGUUAUAUAUUUAUAUGCAUGUAUUCUAUAUGUUAAUACUGUGGAAUUAGCAAGAGCUUUCCCCUUUUGAUGCUUCUUUAUUUUUCGUUUGGGCAAUUUGGAGCAAAAACUGACUCCCUGCAUAUGAAGUUUGAAAUUUGUUUGGUGACUUUUAGUUUAAUAAUUUGUAUUCAUAUUAAUAAAGGUCACAUGUGGAACUUGAAAAGUAUUAAAAGAAAGAAAAAUCUGAAAGAUUUUAAUUUUUUUACAAUUCUGCCCUAAUAAUUUUUUAUUUUUAAUUGUAUUUAGUAUGAAGAGAAAAUAUAAAAAAAAUUAAUUUUCUUUUUACUUAUUUUUUCUUUCCUCUAAUAAAAUUCUUGAUUCGGAUG